Long non-coding RNA from Amphimedon queenslandica, 363 nucleotides. RefSeq lists it as uncharacterized. Lineage: Eukaryota; Metazoa; Porifera; Demospongiae; Haplosclerida; Niphatidae. The record is from RefSeq and is a predicted model, not a curated record. The transcript has 4 exons.
CGCCAGACACUAUCAGAACUACUGAUAACACCAGUACAAAGAAUACCAAGGAUCAUAUUAUUACUACAAGAUUUAUUAAAGCGUACUGAUACUGGCCACAUUGAUUACAAGCAGUUGGAGGAAUCAGUUGAAAAACUUAAGAAUGUAAUGGAACACAUAAAUGAAGACAAGAGGAAGACAGAGAAGCAGAUGCACAUGUUUGAACUUAUACGUGACAUUGAGGACGUCCCGGCGACGGUCCUUUCAUCUCAUCGUUGGUUUAUUUCAAGACAUGAUGUGUUGGAGUUAAAUAUUAGCAAUAAUGGAAAGACUAAUAAACCAUUGUCUAUAGCAUUGUUCCUCUUCUCUGACAGCAUUGGGGUG